UUAGAAAUAAUUUUUCUCCAGGCUUAUCAAUAUUGGGAACAAAAAUAUGGAAAAGAAAAACUUCUUCCUGGACUUGAAAAAUUUGAUUCAAAGAAAUUAUUCUUUUUAUCUUUUGCAAAUACCUGGUGCGCUGUUUAUUCUACUGAAAGUCUUCAAAACCAAAAUAGGUUUGAUGUACAUUCCUUACCAAAAUACAGAGUUAUUGGCACACUUUCAAAUAUGGAAGAAUUUUCUGCAGCAUUUAACUGCAAAAAAGGCUCUAAAAUGAACCCAGAAAAUAAAUGUAUAAUUUGGUGAAAUGAUUUUUAAGAGUUUUGUUAGACUAUAUGGGAUUGUGAAUGCAAAUAAGCUAUUUGCAUUUGGAUUUGAAGAAUCAGAUGGAAAAAUAUACAGCGUGAGUUAAAAGCCCUAACACCAUUUUCUUUCCAAAAGUACUGAAAAUGUAUUUUUUUUGUUGACCUUAAAAGUGCUUUUACAAGUAAAAAAUAAAAGGUCCCAUCCAAUUCUCCAUAAUGACUUCUGAUGUAGUUACAUUUUAACAAAAUUAAAAGUCAUAUUCAAUUCUCCAUAAAUGAUGUCUGAUGUAACUACACCAACAAAAUUAAUGUAUCUUCAGUACUUUUGAAAUGUGAAAGGUAUAAGGGACUUUUGACUUGCCUUUAUAAAAUUUACUAUAUUUUUAAAAAGGAUAUUAAAAGAUGUUUAAUAUAUAAUAAAUGAUAGUAUUUAUUGUAAAUUUUAUAAGAAUAAAUUUUAUUGUGUUAUAUGACUUGUUUUAAAAUACUUAAACAUUUCCAUCAUGAAAUUAAGUAUGCUGAAUAUAUUUGUUUAAUUAAUAUUAAUCAUAA
This is a long non-coding RNA of Centruroides sculpturatus (bark scorpion), 848 nucleotides long. RefSeq lists it as uncharacterized. The transcript has 3 exons. NCBI's taxonomy places the organism in Eukaryota, Metazoa, Arthropoda, Arachnida, Scorpiones, Buthidae. The record is from RefSeq and is a predicted model, not a curated record.